Molecule: transfer RNA, 81 nt
Filed under: Spirochaetota bacterium
Lineage: Bacteria; Pseudomonadati; Spirochaetota
Description: tRNA-Leu
Rfam family: tRNA
About the family: Transfer RNA (tRNA) molecules are approximately 80 nucleotides in length. Their secondary structure includes four short double-helical elements and three loops (D, anti-codon, and T loops).
Source: RNAcentral
GCGAGUGUGGUGGAAUGGUAGACACGCCUGACUUAGGAUCAGGUGCCUAGCGGCUUGGGGGUUCAAGUCCCUUCACUCGCA